This 253-nucleotide ribosomal RNA is filed under the name uncultured bacterium. Its description in RNAcentral is "partial 16S ribosomal RNA". It matches the Rfam family "Bacterial small subunit ribosomal RNA", at positions 524 to 776 of the family's 1533-position model. The record is from RNAcentral.
UACGGGGGGUGCAAGCGUUAUCCGGAUUCACUGGGUUUAAAGGGUGCGUAGGUGGGCAGGUAAGUCAGUGGUGAAAUCUCCGGGCUUAACUCGGAAACUGCCGUUGAUACUAUCUGUCUUGAAUAUCGUGGAGGUUAGCGGAAUAUGUCAUGUAGCGGUGAAAUGCUUAGAUAUGACAUAGAACACCCAUUGCGAAGGCAGCUAACUACACGAUCAUUGACACUGAGGCACGAAAGCGUGGGGAGCAAACAGG